CCCAUUUUUGCUAUUAUCUUCCCUUGUUGCAACGAACAGACUACAAGCUCCUUUUUUCCAUUUGAUUACUGGCUUUGGAUCAAGCAUAGUUGUAGUUGAAACAGGUCCGAAUAGGUCUCUCUGUUGGCGUCACCUCCGCACAAAGGUCCGCCACAGAGGAAGGAGGAAAUACACACAAGGCCGCAACCAUGCUUCACCGGCAAUCUUCUUGCUUUCAAUUCCAUCAACCUCUGAUCUCGUCCAAUACUCUGAAUUCCAUUUCAGCAUUAGUUCGAGCCUGCAAAGUCUUCCUUUUGACACUUGCAACUUUCCUUUCAUCUCUUUUGAUGAUUCUUGCUAAUUCCUUUGGAGGUCUCACACACCAUUGUCGCCCUAAAGCUCCCGAAGAAGCCAUUUCUGCCAUUUUAUGUGCCAGGUCAUUACCCUCCCUUGGAGUCCAGAUUUUUUGAUAGAAUCAUGGCGUCCCUCAUGGCAUGAGCUUCAGCAGCUAAUGGAGAUUCUUCAGACAAAAGGAAAUGAAAGAAAGAAAAAAAAAAAGAAGAAGAAGAAAGAAAGGAAAGGGGGAGGAAGAAAGGGAGAUCUGAGAAAGAAGGAAAGGGGGAGGAAGAGAGGGAGAUCCAAGGGUGAGAGCGCGCCGGUGGAAGGGCGCCGGAGCUGCUAGGCCACGCCGUCGGGUCGCCUUGGCUGCCGUUGGGAGUAGAGACGCAUGCAGAGGAGAAUCCACCACUGCCUCACUUUCAUCGUCAUCCUCGCCAGGAAGCAUGUCGCCGCUGCUGUCCGUCCGUCCAGCCCGAGUCGUCGCCGUCGUUGCUGGUCCGCCUUGGAGCCGCCGUCGUCACUAUUGAAGCCGAGGAGAGAGAGACGCGGUGAGAGGAGGGUCACACCCAGUGUCGUUGCCGCCUUUCUUCCGCCAUCACCGAAGCUACUGGGCUCGCCGUCGAUGCACCCAUGUUGCUGCUGUGUCGCCGGAGCUUCACGCCGCUGUACUGGCCACCGGAGAACGCAGAUGAGGCCUCUGUCUUCUUGGGUUUUGAUUGUUGCUAAUUACUCGAUUGUACGCCGUUUUCGGAAUCAGGCCAGAUUUACCGAAUGGUGUUAUUGCCACUAGAACAGAUGCACAGGUCCCUGAUUCUCUUCUUUGUUGCCCCAUCAUUCUAUUUUCUAUAGCUGCAUUUCUUUAUCAAACGAUGCAUCUAUGUUAAUUUUCAUCCAACCAUCCGAUGGUGGCCUCCAGCCCAACAAUGUUGCUUAAGUAUUCCUUUAAUGCUUCAAUUCGAUGCACAAGUCCAAAGUCUUUAAACAAGCACCGAUCAGCAAAAAGGUGCAAAGGAAGAAGGCUCUGCAUUUGCAAAGUGAUAAAGGGACAUUUGUCUUCAUCAUGGAAAAAGGAAGACAUAUGAAACAAAAGGAAAUUAACGAAGCAACAAGACACAAGGACAUUUGGCACUAUUAUAGGACAGCUGUGACUCUAGAAAGGAAAAAAAAAACACAAAAAAUAUCACUACUCCAAGGACAACUCAGAAUCAAAAUUCAGAAGAUCAUUAGCAAGUUUGGAAGAGCAAAACAAAAAUACAUAGUUAUGGACAGCAAUUGGAAUGGCUCAAAAAUGGAAGUGCUAUGUAUGCCAAAGAAGACAGCAGAUCUAAGUACAACAGAGUUGGUGGAGCAACUCCUCCAACAAGUAGCAUUAGUGGAGUAGAAUGGAAAAAGGACGGCAUGCCAAUGGACAUAGCUCCAACGGGUUGAUGGUACAAGGAAUUGGAAGAGGAAAAUUGGAGAGCAAGCUGAAAAUAUAAAACAGACCUCACUUCAACAUUUGAAAUCAAGAAAAAUAGAGUGAUACAAGAGCAUCAUCUCAAAACACUUGAGCUGAAAUCAUUCUCCUUCAAUUUGUGCUUCAUUUCAAAUUUUCUUUGGUAUGGCUAUCUAAUGUCAUCUUUCUGUAUUUGAGGAAAAGGCUUGAGAAUGUGAGUUGAAAAAGUCAUAAGAGAAGAGGCAAGAGAGAUGCAUGAAAAAGCCAAAUGAGUUCUUUCUGUGAACUAAGGUUUAGUUCCCCUUACCAAGUUGGGAUAGUACUUGGUGGUAAAUUGAAUCUGCGGAUUUCCCUUGCCAAGUUGGGAUAGCACUUGGUGUUUCUGAAUCUGGCUAGGUUCUCCUUCUAAGUUGGGGCAACACUUGGGUUGCUAGGCUUUGGGGUAAAAAGCUUAGUGGAAGAUACUAGAUGAAUUGGAUUGUAAUUCAUUAGUAUUGGUGUUUGUAAUCUGUUUGAUUAUAGUAAAAAUUCCAUCAUGGUUGUGGUGGAGACUA
Molecule: non-coding RNA, 2307 nt
Organism: Arachis ipaensis
Lineage: Eukaryota; Viridiplantae; Streptophyta; Magnoliopsida; Fabales; Fabaceae
Source: RefSeq, a predicted model, not a curated record